AGUCAAGUAAUUAAGUGCAUGUGGUGGAUGCCUUGGCAGUCAGAGGCGAUGAAAGACGUGAUAGCCUGCGAAAAGCUCCGGGGAGGCGGCAAAUAUCCUUUGAUCCGGAGAUGUCUGAAUGGGGGAACCCACCUACUUUAAGGUAGGUAUUGCAACAUGAAUACAUAGUGUUGCAAGGCGAACGAGGGGAAGUGAAACAUCUCAGUACCCUUAGGAAAAGAAAUCAAUUGAGAUUCCCUCAGUAGCGGCGAGCGAACGGGGAUCAGCCCAUUAAGUUAUGUGUGUUUUAGUGGAACGCUCUGGGAAGUGCGAACGUAGAGGGUGAUAUUCCCGUACACGAAAGGGCACACAUAAUGAUGACGAGUAGGGCGAGGCACGUGAAACCUUGUCUGAAUAUGGGGGGACCAUCCUCCAAGGCUAAAUACUCCUGACUGACCGAUAGUGAACCAGUACCGUGAGGGAAAGGCGAAAAGAACCCCUGUGAGGGGAGUGAAAUAGAUCCUGAAACCGCAUGCAUACAAGCAGUGGGAGCACCUUCGUGGUGUGACUGCGUACCUUUUGUAUAAUGGGUCAGCGACUUAUAUUCAGUAGCGAGGUUAACCGUAUAGGGGAGCCGUAGAGA
This 622-nucleotide ribosomal RNA is filed under the name Acinetobacter baumannii. Its description in RNAcentral is "partial 23S ribosomal RNA". It matches the Rfam family "Bacterial large subunit ribosomal RNA", at positions 1 to 674 of the family's 2925-position model. The record is from RNAcentral. Lineage: Bacteria; Pseudomonadati; Pseudomonadota; Gammaproteobacteria; Moraxellales; Moraxellaceae.